Long non-coding RNA from Motacilla alba alba, 3670 nucleotides. RefSeq lists it as uncharacterized. The record is from RefSeq and is a predicted model, not a curated record. Lineage: Eukaryota; Metazoa; Chordata; Aves; Passeriformes; Motacillidae. The transcript has 3 exons.
AGCAGCUGCGGCGUCUGCCUGACACACCGAAUUACCGUCUCUCCCCAAAGAGACGGGAUGCAGCCCUAAAGCGCUGACUGGGAAGUGCCCUACCUGGGAAGAAAUUCUCCAAAUAUGAAGAACUUAAAUGAAUAUCCAACAUCUUCCAGAUGGCUUCCUCAAACACAAAAAUAAUCAAUUUCCCUAGGUGAAAGGCUUUGGUCUCCAAAGCUCAGCUCAGAUCUAUCUGAUACAAAGCUCUUAUGUGAGAUUGUCAAGUGAAUCUGCAUCAGCAGAGUAGCUAAAGCAUGCACCUAAAAGCAGAUGAAAUGAGCCUCUCCUCAAUGUUUAUCUUAAAAUCCAAAAGAAUAUUCCAGUCUAUGACACUUGGAUUUUUCGCUCAUUGAGAAGAAAAGGGAUCACAGAGAAAUCACCUGGGAUGUCAGAGAACUGUUUUAAAAGGACUAAACUCCCUAAAUCUGGUCUUUAUCGACAAGUCAUGAGACAAACAUAAACACUGAAAGAAAAAAACAAGGAAUGUUUAAACCAUUUUUCUUUCCCCAGAAGCAAGUGGCUUUUAGAAUAUUCAUCGCACAAAUUGCUUUCAUUACAAAUUGGAACAAGAAUAAGUUUUGGAAUUCUGAUUUCUCAUGACAGAGCUCUGAUUCUAUGGUGAAAAAAUUGCUCAAACAGGAAAUUUCCUUCCUUCAAUAAUGCGUUGAUCUCUGCCCUUAUAUCAGACCAAUUCUAUCUUCUAGGAGCUCACUCUGAAAAAAUAUGAUGUUUCUGCAGACCACUGUGUUUAAACAAAACCAUUGUUCUCCCUCUUGUUUGUAACAAAAGGUAAUGAAUGGAGACUGGGAGUUCCUGAGUACAGCAGGAGCUCUGGAAUAACUAUUAACAAGAAUUUCUGAAAAAGAAGGAGUUUGAUGUGAAGGGGCGAAGCAUAAGGACAAAUCAGAUAGAAGAAGAUAUGCUGAUUUUCCAGUCUGGGCUGGAAAUAACAUAGAUGGAGAAGUGAAAAAGAAUAGGAAACAUCGUGUCUGCAAACUGUUCUCUCAGUGGAUGUUUUUGGGAGAGUGUCAGCUAAAGGAUUCAACUUUUGGUAGGAUAUGUGUUACCCAUGCCCAAAUUUGUGGGUAAUCAACUCACAAAUCAGCUGAUGACUUAGUUAAAUGUUGCUUCCUUAGAAAAAACACUCAAGUUUGCAAAUACCUUUGAUGAUACGCUUUUGGCAACUCAGGGACAGGCUGGAGCACGUUCGCCUUCUCUGUCACACGUUCCCCUCUGCACUUCCCCACGGGCAAAUGCAAGUCCAAAAAUGCAAGAAAGUAUCCUGUAUUAAUUUCUUUGUGGUGUCUUCCUCUGCAAACAAAAAACUUGCAGUUCUUUGCACACUUAUGAGGAGAAGCAGCAAUAAUCUCAAUUCACCAUCCCACUUAGAAUGGGAAUUCAGAAACAUUUUACUUGUCAGGCCAUAAAUCAAAUCUUCUGUUUGCAUCUGUAACUUCAUUGGCUCUGAAAGCAGAACAGGAGCUGCUUUUCCUCCUUCAGGCUGAGAUUUUAGUAACAGUUAAAGUGGGAAUACAGAGUCAAAAUUUACACUUGUAGCCAAUAGGUGAAACAGAAAACGCAUAUUCUGCUGCUUUUGUGGGAGGGAAUACACUAUGGUAAAUUGAAUAACCCCCAAUACUUUGACAUCUUAGGAGGGAAAAUAUAAGGCAAUCAGGUGCUCCUGAAGUGCUCAGUCUGUUGUUUGGCUCAGUUUGCUGCCUCUCUAGAAACCUGAUGUGUAUUCUUGGCAGCAGGCAUCAAUGCCCCGAGGGAGAGGAUAUACAAGCCUGCAGGAAUGUAGAUAAACAUCUGAGUUCUUACUCUGCAUAACAACAACAAAAAAUAAUCAGUGAAAGCCUUCAAAGUGCUGCCAAGGGGCCCUUCUUCAUAGUCACAAGUACCAUACUAAGAGGAGAGCUUAUACUUCUCAUUGAAAAUAUUUCAUAUUUAGUAGAUCCAAUCAUAAUUCUGACUUUUUUUUGACAACAGAAAAAAUAAUUUAUAGGGUUUUAUUUUUCUGGGGCCAAGCAGGGAGAAAUGUGUGUUCUUUCUAGCACUGGGCAAUGUUUUCCUUGUAGUAAUGCCUAAUGGUUUUGUCAGUUGUUAUUUGUAAUAUUUAUAAUAACUUUCAGAACCAAAAAUGCAGGAAACAUUAUUUUGUAAAAUUUAGUAGCUUGCUGGGAAUAAUUUUACACUUCACAGAAGCGUCUACUGAAGCAUCUAUUCUAGAAGCACACAGAGUUCAGCUGGUAUAACUGAGGGUGUGUAAUUGUCAGGGAAAAUAGUAUUUUAUUAUAGAAUUUUCUAACAGUGGAUAUUUGGUCAACUGUGGCAAUUCCACAGACGUACAGAAUGACUGCCCUUUGGGAGUGCUAUUUAUAAACUCAAAAGUGCCUGAACAGCACUUGCAAAAAGGCUGCCAGUUUCAAGAAAAUUAAUGACAAUCUGACAUUGUUGGAGGAUGAAGAGAGAAGAGGCUUUGUGCUGAGCUUAAGGCAUGAAGUGUGUUUGCACUGCUUUGUCUUGGCCUCUCUGUGGAAGCCUGGGGUAUUGAUGGGAGCACCCUGCUCAUGGCACUGUCAGCUUAGGCAAAUCAAUACAGGAAAAUGUAAACUUACAGGUAACCUCACAUCCCUUUCUCCUAAAGGCUCCCAAGAGAAAACGGUAUCUUUGUGUCCUGGAGCCUUAAGGGUGUGUCUUUGCUGUACUUCCAUUAAAAAACAAUCCACAACAAAACCACAGAACCCACCCCACAAGACAAUCACACCCAAAAUAGUUCCCUGAGUGCAAGUAGUUUGUGCAGAGUUUCUUCACUGAAUCCAGCCUUUUGAUGAUAGACUGGCUUUAUUUGGAAUUUUAAAAAAUCCAAUCAGACACAGUUCAACGACAAGUCCACACUGCUCUAGAGACUAACAAUUCCCUGCUUUAAACUUUCCUGACGGAUGUCAAAACUGAACUUACUGCACACAACCACCAGAUGAGCACCAGAACCAGCACAGGAGUGAGAGAGGCAGAAAGAGAAGUUCAGUGUCAAAGAGUGACACAUUCCAGUUGCUGUGUCAGUGCCUCAGCUGCUGUUGGCAACCACAGCACAACUUCCAGCACAAAGGCCCUGUACAGGUAUCAGUGACUGUCUCUGAAUAAAAAAGCACUUUCAGUUGAUACCAUCAUCCUGCCUGUGUCACAGAAAUGCAGGCACAUAUACAACAUGUGCAUUUACUGUGAUAUGAGUAUUUAUGAAUCAAAUGUUUUAAUAAAAUUCACUGACUUCUGAGCAAACUUUUUAUCUCCUGAUCACUUCAAGUUUGGCUACAUUGCUGUUACUGAUGGUGUGAGGGGAAAAUUACAUUUCUAAUGCUGUAUGUUUUGUGUGAAGUCAUCUCUGCAGAAAAAAGGCUUUGUAUCCUGCUCGCAGAGCAUGUGUGAGAACUGUUACAACAACAACAAGCAGCUUCCCGUUACUUUUAUUUUGGAAAGACAAAAUGGCUGAGGGCCACAGCUGUUGAUUUAUUCAGAUGCCGAAGGAAACCAUUAGCCCAUUGGACCCUGAAGAUGAGAUUCCUUUGUGCUAAAUGUUAAUAUAAGGAAAUCCCAAACAGGGGCUGCCAAAGGAACAUAAUACAAAUGCAAAAUGCCA